This 254-nucleotide ribosomal RNA is filed under the name uncultured bacterium. Its description in RNAcentral is "partial 16S ribosomal RNA". It matches the Rfam family "Bacterial small subunit ribosomal RNA", at positions 524 to 776 of the family's 1533-position model. The record is from RNAcentral.
UACGUAGGUGGCAAGCGUUGUUCGGAUUUACUGGGCGUAAAGGGCGCGUAGGCGGCCACCGCAAGUCGACUGUGAAAUCUCCGGGCUUAACCCGGAAAGGUCAGCCGAUACUGCGGGGCUAGAGUGCAGAAGGGGCAACUGGAAUUCUCGGUGUAGCGGUGAAAUGCGUAGAUAUCGAGAGGAACACCUGCGGCGAAGGCGGGUUGCUGGGCUGACACUGACGCUGAGGCGCGAAAGCUAGGGGAGCGAACGGG